GAUGAACGCUGGCGGCGUGCCUAAUACAUGCAAGUCGAGCGAACAGACGAGGAGCUUGCUCCUCUGACGUUAGCGGCGGACGGGUGAGUAACACGUGGAUAACCUACCUAUAAGACUGGGAUAACUUCGGGAAACCGGAGCUAAUACCGGAUAAUAUAUUGAACCGCAUGGUUCAAUAGUGAAAGACGGUUUUGCUGUCACUUAUAGAUGGAUCCGCGCCGCAUUAGCUAGUUGGUAAGGUAGCGGCUUACCAAGGCAACGAUGCGUAGCCGACCUGAGAGGGUGAUCGGCCACACUGGGACUGAGACACGGUCCAGACUCCUACGGGAGGCAGCAGUAGGGAAUCUUCCGCAAUGGGCGAAAGCCUGACGGAGCAACGCCGCGUGAGUGAUGAAGGUCUUCGGAUCGUAAAACUCUGUUAUUAGGGAAGAACAAAUGUGUAAGUAACUAUGCACGUCUUGACGGUACCUAAUCAGAAAGCCACGGCUAACUACGUG
RNAcentral lists this ribosomal RNA (497 nucleotides) under uncultured bacterium. RNAcentral's name for it is "partial 16S ribosomal RNA". It matches the Rfam family "Bacterial small subunit ribosomal RNA", at positions 28 to 507 of the family's 1533-position model. The record is from RNAcentral.